This 492-nucleotide ribosomal RNA is filed under the name uncultured bacterium. Its description in RNAcentral is "partial 16S ribosomal RNA". It matches the Rfam family "Bacterial small subunit ribosomal RNA", at positions 29 to 507 of the family's 1533-position model. The record is from RNAcentral.
AGUGAACGCUGGCGGUAGACCUAACACAUGCAAGUCGAACGGCAGCACAGUAAGAGCUUGCUCUUACGGGUGGCGAGUGGCGGACGGGUGAGGAAUACAUCGGAAUCUACUUUUUCGUGGGGGAUAACGUAGGGAAACUUACGCUAAUACCGCAUACGACCUACGGGUGAAAGCAGGGGAUCUUCGGACCUUGCGCGAUUGAAUGAGCCGAUGUCGGAUUAGCUAGUUGGCGGGGUAAAGGCCCACCAAGGCGACGAUCCGUAGCUGGUCUGAGAGGAUGAUCAGCCACACUGGAACUGAGACACGGUCCAGACGCCUACGGGAGGCAGCAGUGGGGAAUAUUGGACAAUGGGCGCAAGCCUGAUCCAGCCAUACCGCGUGGGUGAAGAAGGCCUUCGGGUUGUAAAGCCCUUUUGUUGGGAAAGAAAAGCAGCAGGUUAAUACCCCGCUGUUCUGACGGUACCCAAAGAAUAAGCACCGGCUAACUUCGUG